Molecule: non-coding RNA, 691 nt
Organism: Chiloscyllium plagiosum (whitespotted bambooshark)
Lineage: Eukaryota; Metazoa; Chordata; Chondrichthyes; Orectolobiformes; Hemiscylliidae
Source: RefSeq, a predicted model, not a curated record
AGUGCUGCCUAAAAGAAGAAAGUAGGUGAAAUUCAGCACAACUCAGAGCAUUGCUCCAAUGCAAAAAUUGUUCCAAAGAAAUUUAUGAAAGGAAAAUUAAUGCAUCAGCGUCCAUAUAUGGAAAUCACAGCUGUGGCACAAUAGUGUCUUUGGGACUUGGCCUGCAUAUGUCAAAGUGGAUCCUGUUUUCUGUGGUUGAGUGAAAUUGCAGUCCUGCUGGGGAGAGCAAAUUAAAUUCCAGCUUUAUAUAAAAUAUCAACCAACAUGGAGAAGACUUAAGGAAGAGCUGAACUAUUCUGAUAGUGUUGAGUUGACAGUAUCAUGGAGGACAAUCCACUCGUGUUGGGUACCAGUACAGUGAACCAGGGCCUCCAAUGCAGCCAGAUUGUGACUGAACUCAGUGCUUCAGUAGUGAUCUCCCCAAAGCCCUGCAUAAAGUACAGAGCUUCUGAAAAAGCAAAUUGAGAAAUGUAAAGUCAGUGAAAACUCUACAGAUAUCUAGAGAUUCUGCUACUGCUGAUGAUACAAGACAGCCAUGAAACAAUUGUGGCCUCACAUUCAGAAUCUAACACCUCAAGGAAUCGAAUGACUGUUUAACUAUAUUAUUUUUCCUAUCUCUAUCAGACAUCUCCUUUGAAACCUAUUACCUGAGUUUGUGCUUGUGUUUGAGGUUGUGUUUUUAUUAUUUUGU